GGGGCAGUAGCUCAGUGGUAGAGCUCCCGCUUCGUGUGCAGGAAGACCUGGGUUAGAUUCCUGGCCGCUUAC
Molecule: transfer RNA, 72 nt
Organism: Toxocara canis (dog roundworm)
Lineage: Eukaryota; Metazoa; Nematoda; Chromadorea; Rhabditida; Toxocaridae
Rfam family: tRNA
About the family: Transfer RNA (tRNA) molecules are approximately 80 nucleotides in length. Their secondary structure includes four short double-helical elements and three loops (D, anti-codon, and T loops).
Source: Rfam